Molecule: ribosomal RNA, 714 nt
Filed under: uncultured Lachnospiraceae bacterium
Lineage: Bacteria; Bacillati; Bacillota; Clostridia; Lachnospirales; Lachnospiraceae
Description: bacterial SSU rRNA
Rfam family: Bacterial small subunit ribosomal RNA
Source: RNAcentral
GACGAACGCUGGCGGCGCGCCUAACACAUGCAAGUCGAACGGAGCUGUUUUCUCUGAAGUUUUCGGAUGGAAGAGAGUUCAGCUUAGUGGCGAACGGGUGAGUAACACGUGAGCAACCUGCCUUUCAGUGGGGGACAACAUUUGGAAACGAAUGCUAAUACCGCAUAAGACCACAGUGUCGCAUGGCACAGGGGUCAAAGGAUUUAUCCGCUGAAAGAUGGGCUCGCGUCCGAUUAGCUAGAUGGUGAGGUAACGGCCCACCAUGGCGACGAUCGGUAGCCGGACUGAGAGGUUGAACGGCCACAUUGGGACUGAGACACGGCCCAGACUCCUACGGGAGGCAGCAGUGGGGAAUAUUGCACAAUGGGGGAAACCCUGAUGCAGCGACGCCGCGUGGAGGAAGAAGGUCUUCGGAUUGUAAACUCCUGUCCCAGGGGACGAUAAUGACGGUACCCUGGGAGGAAGCACCGGCUAACUACGUGCCAGCAGCCGCGGUAAAACGUAGGGUGCAAGCGUUGUCCGGAAUUACUGGGUGUAAAGGGAGCGCAGGCGGAUUGGCAAGUUAGGAGUGAAAUCUAUGGGCUCAACCCAUAAAUUGCUUUCAAAACUGUCAGUCUUGAGUGGUGUAGAGGUAGGCGGAAUUCCCGGUGUAGCGGUGGAAUGCGUAGAUAUCGGGAGGAACACCAGUGGCGAAGGCGGCCUACUGGGCACUAA